This 441-nucleotide ribosomal RNA is filed under the name uncultured bacterium. Its description in RNAcentral is "partial 16S ribosomal RNA". It matches the Rfam family "Bacterial small subunit ribosomal RNA", at positions 338 to 795 of the family's 1533-position model. The record is from RNAcentral.
CCUACGGGUGGCAGCAGUAGGGAAUUUUGCGCAAUGGGCGAAAGCCUGACGCAGCAACGCCGCGGGAUUGAUUAAGCCCUUCGGGGUGUAAAGAUCUGUCAGUGGGGACGCAACUUGACGGUACCCACAGAGGAAGCACCGGCUAACUCCGUGCCAGCAGCUGCGGUAAUACGGAGGGUGCAAGCGUUGUCCGGAAUCAUUGGGCGUAAAGAGUUCGUAGGUGGCAUAUUAAGUCUGGUGUUAAAUGCAGAAGCUCAACUUCUGUUCGGCACUGGAUACUGGUAAGCUUGAAUGCGGUAGAGGUAAAGGGAAUUCCUGGUGUAGCGGUGAAAUGCGUAGAUAUCAGGAGGAAUACCGUUAGCGAAGGCGGCAAUCUGGCUGGAAACUGACGCUGAGGUGCGAAAGCGUGGGUAGCAAACAGGAUUAGAUACCCUUGUAGUC